Long non-coding RNA from Lemur catta (Ring-tailed lemur), 298 nucleotides. RefSeq lists it as uncharacterized. NCBI's taxonomy places the organism in Eukaryota, Metazoa, Chordata, Mammalia, Primates, Lemuridae. The transcript is spliced from 3 exons. The record is from RefSeq and is a predicted model, not a curated record.
CCCGCUGCCAGGAGUGUUGGCUGCGGGCAGCUCAGGGCUCAGUCCCCUUAGGGAAUUCUCAAAGGGAGCUGCUUUGCCCAAGGUAUGGUAAAACACACAGACACAGAAAUGACUGCCAUGAAGGAAGAAGGUUUUAUCCCCACGGGUCCCUACAAACAGGAGGUGCCGCCUGCCAUGCAGGGCCACGCCAGGAAGUACCGGGGUUGGUCGGGAGGAGAAACCUGGGCGAGAGCCUUUAUUGGAAAUACAAGGCAAAGCAAGCCAAACCUCUUAGAAGAGCAACCUACACUCACCGCCU